GCUGAUAUUCUACAAAUGUGAGGUCACGAGAUUAAAUGAUUGGUCCCGGCCGAUAACUCCUAAGAAAGAUCGCCUACACCUGUUGGUAUGUCUGGAAAGCUUGAAAUGCAGUAACUUUCAUCCAUAAAUCACCAGAUACUGAAAACUGCCACUUGCACAAGUUAGAAAAGCUCUUUUGGAGUGUGUUGCCGGUAACAAUGUAAGCUAAUUCAUGAUUGGGUGGAUGAAAGGCAUGGGGUGUGGAGUAAACUUGAGCUAGGUUUCAUGAAAAUUAACUGUGACAGAUUUUACAUAACAUGCCAUUGUUGGUAUUGAGGCCAGAAAUGAAACAGGGGAUAUGGUUGCCUGUAGAGGGGGCUGAAUUAUUUGUUGCUCGAAAGAGCAUUGCAGUGGCUAAAGAAAAAAGCUGGCCCAAGGCAGGAGAAUAGAUGGAUGCAGCUAUGGCAUACAAGAAUAUCACCAACCUUCACAAGCAGUGCGAUUGGAGACUAAGGGCAGCUCUUGUUGGGAUUCAAGCAACUAUAUAUCAUUCUUUCAGCAAGUGUUUGUGCCCAUUGGGUAACUUUGCAUAUGUGCGAUUGAAAUUGGGGUGACCCCCCCCCCCCCCCCCCCCCGCUCCCAUGGGGAAAGAAUUAAUUCUGUAUUAAGCAUCGCAUCGAAGAAAAAGAAGUGAAAUUGAUGCCUUCAAGACCAAAAACUCACCUGAACCGUAAUAAAACUGACUGCACAUCGAAGGAUGAAUUGUAGCAGUUAGCAAAUGAAAGCGAAAGUGGAUCAAUUUCACUUCAUUGGAUCCAAACCCAAUCAAUGCGUAUGUCAGGGAUUUCUUGGAUUUUCCAGAAAGUAACGUGAAACAUCUACAUGGGAAAGUAUCAAUUUGCAUUCAGCAUCAAAUUGAGGAAGCAGAAUGGAUAUAGAUGCCUUCAAAACCAAAAACUUACCUGAACCCUAAGAAAACUCACUGUACAUGGACAAAUCAAUUCAUUGGAUUUGAAAGCCCUUGAUGCGGAUGAGAGGGAUCUCUUGGAUGAGGGGCCAAUAGUCACGUCUGUAAAAUAUCAACCACCUACUCAACCAACUGCAACCAAAAAUGAACAAGAAGACAUGACAGGGUACUUCCCAUUCCAAGUCUAAAAAAUGUGAUCGUUAUGGUUAUUUUGUUUUUUCUAAAUGGCCCUUGAGAUUCUGCUAACACAGAACUAUGGGGGACUACUGAUCACCAGUGAUUAUGGCCUAAUGCUACAAGUUGAUAUUCUACAGACAUGAGGAUAACCCACUAACGAUGACAGUGCCUGUAUCUUGCCUUGUCCGUGACGGGAGCUCUGGCAGCUUGGUGGGGUUAUAGUGACAAGACUUGCCUACCCAAAAUAAUUGGUUGCGAAUGGUCUUGGAAGGCCAUCUUCUCACAAGCUUAAAUCAAAAUACAUUGUGGCAAACGCAAGGCUUUAAUGAUGACUUAACAGAGUGGCAAAGCAUAGUCUCCCUGAUUGCUCCUCUCUGCCUUUCCUUGACAACAAAGAAGAAGAAAAUUUGCUCUGAACUGGUGCAGGAAUUUGAAUAGAAGAAAGAUGAACUAUGAACUUUGACAAGGAAGUCAUAUUUAAAUGGAUUAUAAUCUGCAGGUUCAUUCAAUUUGAUUUUCCAUAUUCACCAACUUGAAAACACUUGUUUUAAAUCCUAUUUUUUUGCAUCUUUACAAAUAGCUGAUGUUGCUGGAAGUAAGAAACCUUCUUCAUUUGACUUUGAAUAUGGACCUUAAUAAUUGACAUAAUGAUACAGAUUAAUCUUUUGGAACAGGUCUCCAGAAAAAUAGUUUAGAGAAUAUCACUACAUCUAUUAAAAUAAAUAGCCUUUUCUUGUCAAGUUGCAGAAGAUGAACAUAAGCACAUCAUUUGCCUACCUCAACAGUGUUUGCAUUUGAUCCUCCUGAGAGAAUUUGCCAAAUAAAGAUGACAGUGGGGAAAUUCUGCAAAACAAGCACAAUUGAGAGAAUUCAGGUCACUGAGCUAGGGCAUAAAAAAAAAAAAAAUUGGAAGAGAAAACAUAACAAAUGCUGAAAUUGCAGAAAAAUAUUAAUAUAAGAGCAACAAUUCUUCACGGUUCUCAUGCGAAGCAUGGUGCAUUUCCAUAAGUGGAAAGAUAAGCAAUAGUUGGGCAUCAAACAAAGUUCAAGAUAUAUCAUCAAUCCAGACAGGCACAUCCAUGCAUCACAAUUCCAGCACCAUGAGCAAGUCCAUGUAAGUAUCAUUUUUCUUGAGGAAUAGUCACUCGUAUGAAACUAUGGUGGACAAGCUGUACCCUAUUAGCAUUAUAACCAUUUCAUUGUGUGUUUCCUUAUCAAACAAAACAGAGCAACCCAAAUGUCUAGCUGGUUUGUGGCAAAUAAUGUGAAGCUUGGCCAUGGAAAAACACGAACUUUUUAGCAUCGAGUUGAGGAUUCGUAAUAUAUGGAGCAGAAGCAGUAGCUAAACGACGAGUGCGGAAGAAAGAGGUAUGAACCAUCACCUGAAGAAUAAAAAUUAGACAUUGGAGAGAUAUCUUCUUAUACAAGUACCGGUAACCUAUAAAGGAUAGCUGUUUGAGAGAGGAGAGAUAGCUGCAAAGACUUAAUCUUUCCACAUUCCUCAUAUUUCUCAUCCAAAGAGAAAUUAGAGAUGAAGGAAACAGAAUGUGAGGUCAGGAGGUCAAAUGACUUGAUACGAGCUGAUAACGCUAAAGAAUGAUUGGCUACACCUAUUGUUAUAUCUGGAAUGCUUGAAAUGUAGUAAACUUUAACAAUAAAUCACCUGAUCCUGAAACUGUCACUUUCACAUUUUAGAAAAGCUCUUUAGACUGUAUAGCUUUUAAAAUGCAAGAGCACUAAGUCAUGAUUGGGUGAAUGAAGGCAGGGUGUGGAGAGUAAACCUGAGUUAGGCUUUGUGAAGAUUAACUAUUAUGGGUCUUCUAUUGAAGGAACCAAACAUGCUGUUGUUAGGAUUGUGGCGUGAGAUGAAACAGGGGAGAUGAUUGCCUGCAAGGGUGUUGUGGUGCAAGCUAGAUCUGCAAAGGAGGCUGAAACACUUGCUGCUCAAAAAGCAUUGCAGUAGCCAAAUAAAAAGCUGAACCAAGGUAGUAGUGGACUAGAUGGAGCUUUGGUAUACAAGGAUAUCAUCAAUUUUCCCAAGCAGUGCAAUUAAAGACUAAAGGAUGCUCGUACUAGGAUUCAAGAAGCUAUAGAUCAUUUUGCAGCGCCGAAUUUUAGUUGUAUUUCACGAAAAGCAAAUGCUUGUGCCCAUUAGGUGGCUUUGCCAAAAUUGAGAUCUACAUCUGCAUCUCCCACCCUUCUUAUCACAUAUGCUUAUUUCAACCGUGAGCGGCUGGCCUAGAAAGAAAAAACCCCAUCAAGGACACACACAACCCGCCCGAAUGUCAGUCUCUGACCUUCAGUCGCUGGUUUUUGGAAAUUCUACGAGAAACAUCUCCACAGGAAAAAUCAAUCCGUAUUAGGCAUCAAACUGAAGAACAUAAUAUAAAUUGAUGCCUUCAAAAACAAAAACUGACCCCAACCCCAGAAAGUUGCCUUUAGGUGGAACAACGAAUUGCGGCGGAUAGCAAAUGGAAGGGAAAGAAUGAAAGAACUUAUAAGAAUUACCUAAAGAAGGAAAAGUAGUCAGCGGAGAUAAAUCUUUUGUCAUGCCUCUGGUGUGAUCAAUUUCAAUUCAUAGGAUCCAAACACCAACAAUGUAGAUGAGAGGGAUCUCUUGGAUGAGGGGCCAAUAGUCGCCAGUGAGUUUUGAGCAUCAAUCUUUUGGAAUCUCACAUAUAGAUAUCUCCAGAAUUUGGACAAAUCAUAGUCUUCCUUAUUGCUCCUUUCUACCUUUCCUUGAUAACAAAGAAAAAGAAAAAUAUGCUCUAAUAUGGCGUGGGAAUAUGAAUAGAAAGAUGAACCGUGAACUUUGACAAGGAAAGCAAAUUUCAAUGGCUUAUAAUCUACAAGGUUCAUUCAAAUUUAGUUGUCACAUUUGCCAACUCGAUCACACCUGUUUAAAAUCCUAUUUUUUGCAUCUUUAUAGAAGCAGCUGUUGUUGGAAGUAAGAAAGCUUCUUCGUUUGACUAUGAAUAUAGACCUCGGUAAUUGACAUUGUGAUAUAGAUUAAUCUUUGAGAGCAUGUCGCCAAAAGAAAAAAACAGUUUAGAGCAUAGUAGUACUCCUACCAAUAAUAAAUAGCAUUUUGUUCUUCUUUUGUCAAGUUGCAACAAAUGAACAUAAGCACAUCAUUUGCCUAACUCAGCACUGUUUGCAUUUGAUCCUCCUGAGAAAUUUUGCCAAAUAAAGAUGAUAGUGGGAUAUUCUGCAAAACAAUCAUAGUCGAGAGAAUUCAAGUCAGUGAGCUAGGAUAUAAAAAAUUAAAAAGAAAAAGAUAAUUGGAAGAGAAAACAUAACAAACACUGAAGUUGUGGGAAAAAUAACAAUAUAAGAGCAACAAUUCUUCACAAUUCUCACGUAAAGCAUAGUGCAUUUCCAUAAGUGGAAAGAUAAGCAAUUUUUGGCCAUCAAACAGUUUAAGAUAUAUCAUAAAUACGGACAAGCACAUACACACAUCAUUAUUCUUGCACUGUAAACAAGUCCAUGUAUGUAUUUUUUGUUUUGAUGAAUAGUCACUUGUAAGAAGCAAUGGUUGGUUGACUUGCUGUACCACAUUAGAAUUAUAACCAUUUCAUUGCGUGCUUCCUUGUCAAACAAAACAGAGCAACCCAAAUGUCAACAUUGGACCUUCAGCAGCAGGUUUGUGGAAAUUUAGGUGAAGUUUGUCCAUGGAAAAAUAUGAACUUUUUAGCAUUGAAUUGAGGAUUUGAAAUAGAAAUGGAUCCUGAAGCAGCAGCAGUAGCUAAACAAUAAGUGUGCAAGAAAGAAAGAAGUCCAAAUCAUUACCUGAAAAGCAAAGUUUAGAAAUUGGAUAGAUAUCUUCUUAUUGGAUCUGAACUCAACCAACUACGAUGAGCAGGAUUUCUCGGAUGAGGUGCCAAUAGUUGCCACUGAGUUUUGAGCAUCAUUCUUUCAUAAUUUUACGGUGAAUUAUGCUGAAUACUUGGAGGAGGGAAUGAAGCCAUCCUCUGGCAAGUUCCAUUAAACUAUAAAAUGUAGCUGUUCGAAAGUGGAGAGAUGACUGCGAAGACCACUUGAUAAUCUUUCCAUGUUCCUCAUAUUUCUCAUCCAAAGAGAGGUAGAGAUCAAGGAAACAGAAUACUCUGCACUUCUUACAUCCUGCACUAUUGAUAUUCUUUCCACAUUCCUCAUGUUUAUCAUCCAAACAUCUGAAACAGGACUAUCAAUUAGUCCUGAAUAAAAAUAAAGUUUCCUGCUUAGAGUGAUCAGAACAGAAUUAUAUGCAUACCCAAUUGACAACAACAAAAAAUGAACCGGGAUACCCUCUUGAUAACUUUUUUUUUUUCGCUGAAAAAUUCUUGUGAUUUUGUUAACUUACAAGUACAGGAGGCCACCAAUCACGAGUGACGGUGACUUGUUGGCACGGGCUGAUAUUCUACAAAUGUGAGGUCAUGAAAUUGAAUGAUUGGUACAGGCUGAUAACUCCUAAGAAUGAUUGCCUAGACUUGUUGGUAUAUUUGGAGUGUGUUGCCGAUAAAAAUGUAAGCUGAGUCAUGAUAAGGUGGAUGAAAGGCAAGGUGUGUGGAGUAAACCUGAGCUAGGUUUCAUGAAGAUUAACUGAGGCGGGGUCUUACAUAACAUGCC
RNAcentral lists this long non-coding RNA (5731 nucleotides) under Eucalyptus grandis. RNAcentral's name for it is "long non-coding RNA (EGRA_LNC000578)". Lineage: Eukaryota; Viridiplantae; Streptophyta; Magnoliopsida; Myrtales; Myrtaceae. The record is from RNAcentral.